This 120-nucleotide ribosomal RNA is filed under the name uncultured archaeon. Its description in RNAcentral is "partial 16S ribosomal RNA". The record is from RNAcentral.
GCACCGGUCUUACCCCGCUUUUAUUCUCAGAGCUGUUUACACUCUAAAAAAGCCUCACCAAAAAGAUGAGGCACUUAGGGUUCCCCCGUCACGCUUGCGCGUAUUGCGGAGUUUUCGCGC